Molecule: long non-coding RNA, 5276 nt
Organism: Dreissena polymorpha
Lineage: Eukaryota; Metazoa; Mollusca; Bivalvia; Myida; Dreissenidae
Exons: 2
Source: RefSeq, a predicted model, not a curated record
GCAUUUUUUGAAGAAAAUGUAAUUAAUGACCACACCCCCACACUAUACACCCCCUCCACUCCACCCCUCCUUCCUUUGUGAUUGAAAUUGAGAUAGGUCCCUUCACCUUUAAAAAGAAAAAUAGAUGAGCGGUCUGCAUCCGCAAGGCGGUGCUCUUGUUUUUAAUACGGACCAGGGAAAGGGACAUUUUUCCUUAUAUGGCUAUAGUAGAACCUAGUUAACACUUAAGAAGUCACAUUAUUAGUCCAAUCUUCAUGAAACUUGAACGUUUGUUCUAAUAAUAUAUGCACUGAUUUAGAAAUUGGUUCCCUUCUAUUGAAAAACAUUUCCGUCUUUAAAGCUGGGUAUUUUUUCCUUAUAUUGCUAUAUUAAAACCAUGUUAACUGACAAGUUGAUAUUUUGGCCAAGUUUUAAAAUGGUUUCAGAAACAUUUCAAAAGUUGCUAAGAGCAGUUCAAUUCCCUGAGGUCUCAGGUCAGCGACUGUUGGCCUCUGGCCCUCUUAUUAGUUUUUGUGUGAUGAAACUUUUCAAGGCUGCAUUUCAACAUGAACCUUUAUUGCUGUAUAGAUUUCAAUGAGAAAAAGUGCCAUACACAAGAACCAUAACCCUUAAUUUUCUGAAAUAUACACGUCCCUUUUUUUCAGCUCACCUGAUUGCUCUGGUGAGCUUUUCUGAUCGGUCUUUGUCCGUUGUCCGUCCGUCCGUUAACAUUUGUUUAUAAACACUCUAGAGGCCACAUUUGUUGUCCCAUCUUCAUAAAACUUGGUCAGAAGCUUUGCCCCAAUAAAAUCUCGGCCGAGUUCGAAACUGGGUUGUGCCGGGUCAAAAACUAGGUCACUAGGUAAAAAAAAAGAAAAACCUUGUAAACACUGUAGAAGUCACAUUUUAUGUUCAAUCUUCAUGUAACUUUGUCAAAAUGUUUGUCUUAAUGAUAUCUUGAUUGAGUUCAAAAGUGGUUCCGGUCUGUUGAAAAACAUGGCCUUCAGUGGGCGGGGCAGUUUUCCUUAUUUGGCUAUAGAGAAACCUUGUAAACACUGUAGUAGUCACAAUUUUUGCCCAAUCAUCAUGAAAGUUGGUCAAAACAUUGGUUUUAUUGAUAUCUCGGACGAGUUAGAAAAUGGUCCAGAUCGGUGAAAAAACAUGGCGGCCAGUGGGCGGGGCAUUUUUCUUGAUAUGUAUAUAGUGUCAGUUUUUCCUAUUUGGCUAUAGAGAAACCUUGUAAACACUCUAGAAGUCACAAUUUUUGCCCAAUCAUCAUGAAAGUUGGUCCUAACAUUGGUUUUAUUGAUAUCUCGGACGAGUUGGAAAAUGGUCCAGAUCGGUGAAAAAACAUGGCCGCCAGUGGGCGGGGCAUUUCUCUCUAUAUGUAUAUAGUGAAAACAUGAGAACACUCUAGAAGUCACAUUUUUGGCCCAAUUUUUAUGAAAUUUGGUCAGAACAUUUGUUUCCUUGAUAUGAGAGUAGAGUUCGAAAAUGGUUCUUGUCAAAUCAAUAACAUGGCUGCUGGGGGGGGGGGGGCAGUUUCCUUAUUUGGCUUUAGUGAAACCUUGUAAACACUCUAGAAGUCACAAUUUUAUCCCAAUCAUCAUGAGAGUUGGUCAAAACAUUGUUUUUAUUUAUAUCUCGGACGAGUUUGAAAAUGGUCCACAGAUCGGUGAAAAAACAUGGCCGCCAGUGGGCGGGGCAUUUUUCUCUAUAUGUAUAUAAUGAAUACAUAUGUGAACUCUCUAGAAGUCACAUUUUUGGCCCAAUUUUCAUGAAAUUUGGUCAGAACAUUUGUUUCUUUGAUAUGAGAGUUGAGUUCGAAAAAGGUUCCGGUCAGUUGAAUAACAUGGCUGCGGGGGGGGGGGGGGCAGUUUUCCUUAUUUGGCUAUAGAGAAACCUUGUAAACACUCUAGAAGUCACAAUUUUUUGCCCAAUCAUCAUGAAAGUUGGUCAAAACAUUGGUUUUAUUGAUAUCUCGGACGAGUUCGAAAAUGGUCCAGAUCGGUAAAAAAACAUGGCUGCCAGUGGGCAGGGCAUUUUUCUCUAUAUGUAUAUACUGAAAACAUAUGUGAACACUCUAGAAGUCACAUUUUGGCCCAAUUUUCAUGAAAUUUGGUCAGAAAAUUUGUUUCUUUGAUAUGAGAGUUGAGUUUGAAAAUGGUUCCAGUCAGUUGAAUAACAUGGCCGGCGGGGCGGGGCAGUUUUCUUAUAUUUAUAUAAAAGCUUGUGAACACUCUAGAAGUCACAUUUUUUGCCCAAUCAUCAUGAAACUUGGUGAAAAGAUUGGUUUUAUAUAUAUAUCAAAUAAUUAAUGCCAUAAUUAUUGCCCUUAGAUUGUCCAAAUUUUCAUUAUAUUAUACAAAAUCCUUGUAACACUAGAGGUCACAAUUUUGUUUCAGAUUUUAUGAAUCUUGGUCAUAAUAUUUAUUUUUGUUAGCAAAAUUUGAUGUUUGGUAAGGGGGGUCAACUCAAAAUAUAGGCCACCAGCUUAAAUCUUACAAAAACAAAAUCACUCCAUAUGCCAUAUUUUUGGUUCAAUAAUGAUGAAACUUGACCAGGAUGUUUGUCUGGACAAUAUCUAGGUCAAGUUUGAUGUUUGGUAAAGAUUGAAUGAACUGACUCCUCUCAGAUGAGCGAACUAGGGUCAUCUUGGCCCUCUUGUUUAAUGAAGCAACAUGUUGGGGCUAUAUCUUAUAUAUGAUAAAAUAUUUUAACAUGAAACUUCAUGGAUGUACAUAUGUCAAUGAGAAGAAGUGCCAAGCACAACAACCGUAACCAUAUACUUUCAAGUUUUUUUUAAUAAGAGUAAUUGCCGUUUGUUAUUUUGUAUGAUGUAUCUUUAUAGGGCUAUAUCUCAGUAAAUAUAAACAAUUUAAAUAUGAAACUUCAUGGAUGUAAAGAUAUCAAUGAGAAAUGUCAUCCUCAAGAAACAUAACUCUACACUUUCUCAUAUAAUAGUUAUUGUCCUUUGUUGUUUUUGUGUUACCAUUCAACCAUACAUCAAGGGAUUUAAACCCACCCAUAAACAAAACGUGUUUGGAUUGGGAUAUAAAUUCAACACAUUUUCUUGUUAUCAAUUGUAUUGAUAGUAAUUCAUGCCUCACUCCCGAUGUCAAACUUUAUCAAACCUAUGUUGAUGGUUUAAUGAACACAAAUAGUACAUAUUGAGCAGUACUUAGUAUCCUGGGCAUUCUAAUGACUGAACAUACAAGGAGCAGAUCUAUGUAUUAUUUAUUAUUAUUAUUAUUUGUUAGCACCGUAUCAAUAUGAAAACUUAUUUGCUACAUUCAUAAAUGCAGUAUUUGCAAAUGUUAACACUGUGUGAGUCAAUGUAAGAUGGUUCGAGCAUUUGAAAGUCUUGUCCAUUUAUAGUUAUGUAUGACAUCAUCUAAAACAAGGGCACAUUGUUGUUUGGAAAUGUCCUUGAGCCAAAUUUUGUUCUCAGAUUUCUAUUCACAUCUCAGACCUUAGAAAUAUGCCUGUAUGUGUAAAAACAGAUUGUGUAAAAAUGUGUUUAUAACAGUGUGAUUUUCUGAGUGUGAAGGGACUCUCCUUAGAAUGAUAUGGGCCAUUCUGUGUGAGAAGGGACUCUCCUUAGAAUGAAAUGGGCCAUUCUGUGUGAGAAGGGACUCCUUAGAAUGAUAUGGGCCAUUCUGUGUGAGAAGGGGGUUUAAUGCAUUUGCAUAAAGUGUCGUCCCAGAUUAGCCUGCAUAGUCUGCACACGCUUAUCAUUUUCAACACUUUACCCCCAUUAUUUUGACAGAGCCAGGAUCAUAUGUUAUUUUGUACCCAUAAGAUAUUGGCAAUUUUUUAGGCAUGUUAAUUGUUUGAAUGAGUCACUUUUGCAAACCAUGAUUUUGUUAGUUUAUAAACAUUGUGUCUAAUUGUGUGUGAAUUUGCAGAUUUCCAAUAUUUUUUAUUACAACAUCUGUCCAAAUUCACCUUGUUUUUUUUAUAUUACUUUAUCAGUAAUUUAUGGGGUAAUUUGAAUAAUAGAAUUGGGUAUUUUUUACAAUAUAACAUAAUUGUAAUGAUAUAUUCCAUACUAUUUAUUAAAUGUCUACCUUAUAAGGCCCUAUUAAUGAAUCUUACAUUUAUAUACUUCUGAAAAAACAAGAUGAUCUUUUAAUAAGUGUCUUAUUUUCCUUCUUUUAUUCUUCGGUCUUUUUCUAGCAAACUUCUGGAUGGAUUUCAACCAAAGUAUUAUAAAUAGACAUGUAUUGAUCGAUCUUUGAUUCAACAAAAUUUGUGGAAAGCUGCUUUAUCAUUGUUAUGUGUGUAAUUGUGUAUAAUAUCAGGACGCAUAUGAUUUAUGAAGUAACACGUGUUCAAUAUAUUUUUGGCAAAGUGCUAUUGAGAUUUUAAUGAGAACAUAUAGGGAAUUUUAUGGCCAAAAAUAUUUUCAAAUACUUAUCGUUAACUUGGUUGAUGAACAUUGCAACUGGACUUGCAUUGAGUGCUGCAACCAGGAUUAGUUCAUGUGUACACGCUUUUGCAAAUCAGUUUUUUACAUUUGAUUGGCAGUAAUUUGUUUAGCAUAACAUAAUUAUUUUUGUCAUGCAAAAAUAUAAAUGAGUUUUAUUAAUUAGUUUUCUGUGUUUUCUAUGAAAUCUUUUUGCCACAUUACAUCACUUUUGUUUUACAGCAUUUAAUACACAAUAUUCAUUAUUAAUGAAUGCAGAUUAUAUGUCAUGAUGAGAUAGUUUAUGUAUUUAUUGAAAUGUCCGAUUGGAUUUGUAUUGAGGAACAUGAAAUUCCUUUUGUAUUAGUGCUUGUAACGGCUUGUUGUUUUACACUGUUCUAAUUUUCAAAAACAUAUGUGUCCGGCGUAAUUAAAUUCUUGUCAUUCAAUUAAAAUCAUUUGACACUUACCAACAGUUUCUCUUACGUUUUGUGUGUUUUUUUCUUAUCUUAAAUUUAUUUGAAUGACCAUAUUUGUGACAAUUUGUGUUGCUCUUUAAGAAAUCAUGUGUUAAUGUUCCAGUUACAUGACAGUACACUGAAAAUCUGUGUUAUUUUUGCAGUUCAUGUCACGUCCAGUGUUUCGUAAUUUAUUGUUUUGUAGUUAAAUCCAAUGCUAAGCAUUGGACGUUAUUGAAUUUUAUUUUCAGUUGAAAUUUUUCUUAUAUUGUGUGAGAGAGCUCACGUGCUUUUGAUAUAAUUAAGUAUUGUUAAUUUAAUGUGAUUAAAUAUGCCGAUUCAGAUUUAUAUAUUUUCUGAAAAAAAUGUGUUGUAUUGCAGAAGUCAACAAUGUACAAUUUAAAAAGGAAUAAAUGUGCGAAUAUAGUUCA